ACCACUUCCACUUACCACUUCCACUUACCACUUCCACUUACCACUUCCACUUACCACUUCCACUUACCACUUCCACUUACCACUUCCACUUACCACUUCCACUUACNCACUUCCAUUACUACCACGACUACCACUAACCAUCACCACUUUCAUCUCCAUUCUUGUCAUUAUUGGCUUGUUGUACGUUGUUCAAAUGUUUCAACGUAUGUACAUUUGUGACUACGAUUUCUUGUUAGCGAUAUAAACGAAGAGGAUAAAGACUUUGGAGUAAAUAAUUUUGGCCGUGCCACUAGCAUAAUGUAUUUGUGCGUCUAGGUAUCCUUAGCGUUGCAAGUGGAAAGUGGCUUCACACUAUAAAUGGUUGACACAGCUAAUACAUUAGACAUAAACUUUCUCAGCAUUCACGAACAGUAAAAAUACUAUUGGUAAAUGAUUCAUGGAUAUAUAGUAUUAGUAUUUGGCAUUCGUUUCGCUUAUGAAUUGUGAUUGAACCGAUAUCGUAUCAUCAUUAAAAGUUUCCUGUACAUCUUCUACAUCAUUCAAACAUGUGGAAGAAUCAUAAAUUUCACNAAAAUAAUGUCUCAAUCGCAUACGUAUUGUCUGCUCUGACUUGGNUUGUCUUCUGUAUGUGAUCCAAAUAGACGAGAAUGUCAAUCCAUCAUGUACGACCNAUCACACUUCCCUAUAGCUGAAACCGAGUGCAAUGCCUUUUGUAGCAANCAUGAUCUGUGCCUUUUCAAGUUAGGGGGUCCCNGACUCCGUCAAAGGGAAUUUUUCAUUCUUCCUUCANUUAAAUCUCCUCGNGGAAAUGGUUAUCCA
Molecule: small RNA, 819 nt
Filed under: Schizosaccharomyces pombe (fission yeast)
Lineage: Eukaryota; Fungi; Ascomycota; Schizosaccharomycetes; Schizosaccharomycetales; Schizosaccharomycetaceae
Description: small heterochromatic RNA precursor
Source: RNAcentral